UUUGAGGAGGAGAACUGUGGGGACCUUCGUGCUCUCUGAACCUGGCUGUUUUCCUGCAGACGGUUCAUUACCCAAACUAGGUAACAUCUGCAA
Pseudonaja textilis is the source of this 93-nucleotide non-coding RNA. The record is from RefSeq and is a predicted model, not a curated record. NCBI's taxonomy places the organism in Eukaryota, Metazoa, Chordata, Lepidosauria, Squamata, Elapidae.